This is a long non-coding RNA of Brassica napus (rape), 3818 nucleotides long. RefSeq lists it as uncharacterized. Lineage: Eukaryota; Viridiplantae; Streptophyta; Magnoliopsida; Brassicales; Brassicaceae. The transcript is spliced from 7 exons. The record is from RefSeq and is a predicted model, not a curated record.
UGCUACUGCUAUUGCUAAUGCUCUACCAAUCAAGGCCUAAAAGUGAUAAACGAUUACUAACCAAAAAAUCUAACUAAGAAUAAUGAUAUAUGGAUAAUUGAUAUAAAUUACUUAAAUUAGGAGUUACGAGAAUAAUCUACGAAUUUGAGUCUGCAGCGAUAAUUUUUUAGUGAUCGAAAAUCCAAGUAACAAUAAUAAUGUCCGCAUAAUUAUUUAAGUUAGCCGACCAUUAACUUAAAUAACCAACCACCAUUAAAGAUAACAGGAUAAUUGGUAUACAUUACAUACAUGUAUGAAUCACAUAGACUGUCUAAUGUAUAUGACUUAUCCGGAUAACUUAUACCAUUAAAAAUAAGUGAAUAAUUACAUCACAUACAUAUCUGAAUCACAUAAACUAUGACAGAUACAUGUUAUAUUUUAUCAAUUGUAAAAUAGUCUUGACCGUCUAAUUUAUAUGAAUUGUCAGGAUAAUUUAUAUAUUAGAUGUUAAAUAGUUUUAUAUUUAAUGACUUUUGAUUAGUUGAUUUGUCGAGGGAAUCGAUCCGUAAAAGAAACUGCGAAGAAAUGGUGUUGUAAUUGGAGACUUGUAAUUGGAAAGGCGAAGAUUUGAUCAAGAAUUGUGCCGAUUAGCCUGUUUAAGCUAGAUCAAUGUAGUUAAGUUGGUUUAACCAAAGUAAAACCCAGUCCACCGGUCCGGUUAACUGGUUUUAGGUAAGUGAGAUAUAUUGCAGCGACUGAGGUAAGGAUGAAGGAGAGAGUGAGCCAGUGAAGCUAUGGCUUUUGAGCUUAGUGUAGCUCAAAUGGAGUGUUCUGACACAGUGAACCUCGAUAUGACUCGCCGGAAUCUUGCCAGAGAUGAAAUUCCGGCUUGUGAAGAAACAAAAGCUUUUAACUGAGACUGUUGCUCGUAAAACACCUAUGAUUUCUCGUGAGAGGUAAGUGAAGUUGCGGGUCAUCACAUGAUCAUACAGCAUCUUCUUUAUGUAAAAUACCAUGGUUUAUAGAGUUGAUUUAUAUAAAAAUUAAAAUUAUGUCAAAUUAACUCCCAAAUAGAGAAACAAAUUCAUGUGAAGCGGUGUAUUGAUCGUUGUGGUAUAUCGAUUGCAUGGUAUGUAUAUUUGUAUAUGUAAUAAUCAAAUCUUCAAAAGAUAUCGUCAACUAAUGUUGCCGUGUUGGUCAGUAUUUGCUGGCUAAUUUUAGAUCCGCACAGGCUACACAAAUAUUUACGUUUUUUGUAUAUAUAGAUUAAAACUCACGUUUUUUUCUGUAAACCAACAAAAGAAUAGGGGUACGGUGGUCAUUUCACAAGCUUUGGACAUGGGUCUCACGGUUGGACCAACGUUUCUAUAGUUGGUAUUUAUUGUGCAAAUAGCUCUUUAAUAUAAGAGUAAAAGUUUAGUAAUGUACACUGAAUCUUUUUAAUUCUUCUUACUUUGUUUCUAUUCAUUUUUCUCUCUUCAUUCUUACCAUCUAACAAUAUUAAAAGAGGAAUAUGAAAUCCUCUUAGCAUGUCAAUGUCAGAUGAAAAAAUCAGCCACUAAUAUUGCAACAAUCAUCCAUGUCAUCUUUGAUUAAUCUUGAUUUGAUUUGGGGUUCGUAUUUUGUUUUGGACUUCUUCUUUUACCUUUCCUUAUUUUGUUUGGGCUUCGUCUCUUAGCUUUAUCGACUCAUUCUCUCUUCUCUCUUUGAUGAUUCCGCCGUUCUUCUCUUACUUUUCGACCUCCACAUCUUCCAUUACUCUUCUCUCCAAAUCUGUUUCAACGCAUACCUUCACCACUAGCUGCUCUAAUCAAACCUUGCUUGAACUUAUUCAAUGUAUUCUUUUCACCUUCCUUUCCAUUUGUCUAUUUAUAAAUCUCAUUUCUUAGCUUAUGUCUCGAUUAAAAUUGAUAAGCUUCUCUCAGACAAUCAUCCCGAUGGAACCCAAAGGAAACUCUUCAAUCUCCAGCGACCACAAGACCAACAAAAAGACCGUAACUUCCUCCGCGACUGCAAAUCAAACGUCCAGAUCAACCGGCAAGGCACUGACAGCUAUGUUAUGUUCUUCAACGAGGUCGGUCCCAGAUUGGGACAAUCGGAGGCUAACUCAUUUAUGGGCAGCGAGCUACACGGCAAGGGAGCAUUUUUAAUUGGUUUAGUGCUCCUGCUUAUUGAUGAACAGGUUAGACAUGAACUGUUGUGUUGAUUUAUUUUAUUGCUUUAGAUUUCAUCGAUUCGUUCCCAUUAACUAAACAUGAACUGAUGUGUUGAUUUAUUUUAUUGCUUUAAACAUUUUUCUCCCGCACAACUCUAUCCUUUCGGAGCUUCAAGAUAACCGAGUGGAUAUUGACGUAGACAGGUUCAGCUUCCAUUCACUUGAAAAUUUUGAAGACAACUAUGGACUCAGAGCUGAUCACAAGCUAUCCGUGUUCACUUCAGCUGUUAAGAGGAUUAGCUUGCUUUAAACGAUCUGCGGACAAGUUACAGUGGAAGUAACUAACCAACUUAUUUUUGGAGAGCUAAAGCCACUUCUUUUGCUUCUCUUUCUCUCUAUCCCUUAUAUCCUAGGCCUAGCAAGUGAUGAAGAUGGUAAUAAGAUGAUCAAUGAGUAUGUUGUUGACCAGUGAAUAUUUGAUCUGUAGCUAGCCAAGUAAUUUUAUAUCAAACCUCUGUUGAUGGACAAUAUUAUGCUAUCAAGGGCGUAAAGAUCUCUGACAUAUUUUGAUACUUGAGCUAAGGGUUGCACCUUCAGAUACUGCUAUGAGUGAUCUUCGUGAGGUAUAACCCAUUUUCUAUACUGCAUAUCUACUGGUUCAUUGUAGAGACUUUAUUCUUAAACAAAGUACCUGUUUUGAUGAUUCCAAAGUUGAAUUGGGAUGCAUUAACAAAGCAGCUAUAAAACAAAAAGAAAGGGGGUGGGGGGCUAACUGCUCUCUCUAGAAAAAGGUAACAUUGCAUUUUUAGUCAGCUUUUAGUAGGCAAAAGUCUUGAAACUACAUUGUUUGUGUUACUCUUUUUCCUCUUUUUGUCGCAAAUGUCUCUCUUAUUCUAUAGCUGGUUUGUAUGGGUUAUUUUGGUUCCAUGUGGAUUUUCCGUUUUGUAUUGUGGUUGAAUGGUUGUGAUCACGCAUGUGUGGAAGAGCCGAAGAGGAGGCCAAAUAAAGAGGUGGUGAAGCUGCGAACCAGAAAGAAAACAAAGAAAGGUUCUCCAUCAAUAUUCAUGUGUUUCGUGUGAGGAGUAUCAAGGAUUUGUUGUAUGUUUUCUGGAACAAUACAAACCAGUUGCUCAAGGAUUUUUUUCUGGGAAUUACAUCAUGAAUGAUCUUCAUCAUUGUUAGGAGCCUACAAGUUCUUUGUUUUAUGUAUCGUAGGAACCAACACAAAGGACAGAGUUAAGUUCCGUAUACACAAGCAGGUGACCGACCUCUUCAGCGCUUUCGAUGUAGUGAAGCAGAUCACUUCCAUAACUAUUGAGCCUGGUAUUGAGGACAAGUACAACGCAUCUGAAUCUUAGUGCAUGUGGUUUAGUUUACAAAUUGUCUUUGAAUUUCAGGGACUUUUUAUUACAAGGUUCAGAUUUCGUCUUCACUUCCAAAAUCAAUAAGUGGGUCUAAAGCCAUAGGCAAAAUAAGUAAAAAAACAGUAUACUAUUCAGUACAACCUAUAACUAGAUUGACAAAAUAAAGUAAAGUUAUAAGAACAUAAUUAAAACAGGUUUGAGUUGAACUUAUUCAUGGUCUAUAACAAAUCUAUGUUAUAUAGAACGGACUAAUUUCCUUAAUUCUUAAGCAUGCCACAAUCAGAUAAAAAAAUAUAAUAAACAAAAUAAUUAUGUCAAAC